AGCUCCAAUAGCGUAUAUUAAAGUUGUUGCGGUUAAAAAGCUCGUAGUUGGAUUUCUGCUGAGGACGACCGGUCCGCCCUCUGGGUGAGCAUCUGGCUCGGCUUGGGCAUUUUUCUUGGAGAACGUAGCUGCACUUGACUGUGUGGUGCGGUAUUCAAGACCUUUACUUUGAGGAAAUUAGAGUGUUUCAAGCAGGCGCACGCCUUGAAUACGUUAGCAUGGAAUAAUAAGAUAGGACCUCUGUUCUAUUUUGUUGGUUUCUAGAGCUGAGGUAAUGAUCAAUAGGGAUAGUUGGGGGCAUUCGUAUUUAACUGUCAGAGGUGAAAUUCUUGGAUUUGUUAAAGACGGGCUACUGCGAAAGCAUUUGCCAAGGAUGUUUUCA
This 382-nucleotide ribosomal RNA is filed under the name uncultured eukaryote. RNAcentral describes it as "SSU rRNA". It matches the Rfam family "Eukaryotic small subunit ribosomal RNA", at positions 587 to 972 of the family's 1831-position model. The record is from RNAcentral.